UGGUGGCUGAGGCUCGAAAAACAAGAAAAACUCAUAUAGUGGGCUGUAUCACGAAGCAGGCAUAUAAGUGAUUUGUACGUGUUUUAGGAAGGAUAGGAACUGCCCGAGAAGAGAGGUUUUCAGGGAAGACUCGAUACAGGUGGCCUGGACUUGCGUUUUUCUGAUGAGGGAAGGACUGGAUGGAAACUAGGCAGAAGAAGAACGAUAGAACAGUGCUGGGAAUACGUGACAGAGGAGUGCAUAAUCCCAGGACAUGGCUUAAUAGAUGAGUACUCCGUGGAAGAUCAGAAAGAGGCCAGACCGAAAGGCACGCUGAUGAGAGAGAAAGCACCGAUCCCAAGACAAUAUGAGUUUUCCGCAAAUACAUGGUGGGGGAGAGGGCGGAAGCAAACUGAAGACCAGAGGCAGCAUGUCACAGGAGACAGGCCCCUGAAGGUAGAGAUAUGAGUUCUUUUUCCAGUUCUGUCAAUUGAUGAUGUACAUCAGUUUUCAUCCUUCUGCUUGCUUCUCCUUUCCUUUUCUUUCUGGCUUGUAAAUAUCAAGGAUGAGUAUUCCUAGGGAAUAACUCUUAUGGCACGUUGGUAAAUUAUCACAAGAUCAGGAUCCGUUUGCUUUGUAACUAUCCUUCCUUUGGGAUAACAGUGGACCAGCACAAUUCCUACCGAAGGCACAACACUGCUUUUUGUUUUCAAGGUCCAGUGUUCUUUGCUGCCUGACAAAAUCCUGCCUACACUGACUCAAAGUGAUUUUUUUUCAAGCGCUCGGUGGCUUCAUUCCUAUGUGAGGGCAAGAUAAUUUCUGAGGUGUGCAAAGGCGUUGCUUGGGGUGCUACGUGGCACGGUGCAGCCUCUCGAUGCGCUCGCUCUCGCUUUCUCCCCACUGGUGAAAACCCCCUGCGGGCGCAGAGAAGCAGGUAAAGGGACGCGUGUGGCAGAGAACAUGGGCACCGUCUCCGUCCUUCGCGGCAGCCUGCCACCCAGGGUAUAGGUGACCCAGGGGACCCCAGGCCUCGUCCCGGUAGCGCAGAUGCCACAGGGAGGCGCCUCGGUGAAACGCCGAGGGGGCUGUAACCCUGCCAGGAGUUGCGCAUGCGCUCGAGCCUC
Molecule: long non-coding RNA, 1103 nt
Filed under: Struthio camelus australis
Lineage: Eukaryota; Metazoa; Chordata; Aves; Struthioniformes; Struthionidae
Description: lncRNA (ENSSCUG00000004848.1)
Source: RNAcentral